CUCCCGGCAUCCGGUUUCGGCCUCAGUCGGCUUCCGGAAGCUCAUCUCAAAAUGCUGAACUGUGUUUUGCAAGUCGCCGGUGCUGUCAUAGUUGGAGUCUGUUCACGUGCCUGAGCCUCGAGGCCAGGCUCUUGGGUGUCGUUAGGGGCCGCCGGGCGCCAACCGAUGGGAGCUCCAGCAGCCGGGAACAGCUGGCAUUUCAGCAGAACCAUGGAGGAACUGGUUCACGACCUUGUCUCAGCAUUGGAAGAGAGCUCAGAGCAAGCUGGAGGUGGAUUUGCUGAAACAGGAGACCAUUCUCGAAGUAUAUCUUGCCCUCUGAAAGGCCAGGCAAGGAAAAAGAGAGGGAGAAAACGGAGGUCAUAAUACGUGCAUCACCCAUGGGAGACUGGUCACUGCUUAAGUGAAGGCUCUGAUUCUAGUUUAGAAGAACCAAGCGGCCGGGCGCGGUGGCUCAAGCCUGUAAUCCCAGCACUUUGGGAGGCCGAGGCGGGUGGAUCUCAAGGUCAAGAGAUCGAGACCAUCCCUGUCAAAAUGGUGAAACCCCGUCUCUACUAAACAUACAAAAAAGUAGCUGGGCAUGGUGGCACGUGCCUGUAAUCCCAGCUACUCGGGAGGCUGAGGCAGGAGAAUUGCCUGAACCCAGGAGGCGGAGGUUGCGGUGAGCCGAGAUCGCACCAUUGCACUCCAGCCUGGGUAACAAGAGCGAAACUCCGUCUCAAAAAAAAAGAACCAAGCAAGGACUAUAGAGAGAAUCACAAUAAUAAUAAAAAAGAUCACAGUGACUCUGAUGACCAGAUGUUAGUGACAAAGCACAGGCCAUCAUCAAACCUAAAUAAUAAUGUAGAGGAAAAAGACCUUUUUUUUUUUUUUUUUUUUUUUUAGACAGAGUUUUGCUCUUGCUACCCAGGCUGGAGUGCAAUGGCGCGAUCUUGGCUCACUGCAACCUCCGCCUCCUGGGUUCAGGCAAUUCUCCUGCCUCAGCCUCCCGAGUAGCUGGGAUUACAGGCAUGCACCACCAUGCCCAGCUAAUUUUUUGUAUUUUUGGUAGAUACAGGGUUUCACCAUGUUGACCAGGAUGGUCUUAAUCUCUUGACCUCAUGAUCCACGCGCCUCGGCUUCCCAAAGUGCUGGGAUUACAGGCUUGAACCACCGCACCCCGCCGGGAAAAGACCUUUAUGGCACGAGUCUGAUUUUGCUGUGGACAAUGUUGGGAACAGAACUCUGCGCAGGAGGAGAAAGGUAAAACGCAUGGCAAUCAGUCUCCCACAGGACAUCUCUAACAAACGGACAAUGACCCAGCCACCUGAAGGCUGUAGAGAUCAGGACAUGGACAGUGAUAGAGCUUACCAGUAUCAAGAAUUUACCAAGAACAAAGUCAAAAAGAGGAAGUUGAAAAUAAUCAAACAAGGACCAAAAAUCCAAGAUGAAGGAGUAGUUUUAGAAAGUGAGGAAACGAACCAGGCCAAUAAGGACAAAAUGGAAUGUGAAGAGCAAAAAGUUUCAGAUGAGCUCAUGAGUGAAAGUUGGUGCUUAAGUGGGAGAUUAAUUAUGACUAUGAUAGCAGAGGGAAAUAAGAAUUUGAGACCAAUUUUAAUAAUUCAAAUCAAUGGGAAGUUGACUGACUGUAUUUGGGAGGAGGAAUGAGAAAGAGGACUCUACUGAAAAUAUAGGAAUUGAACAAAUCGGGGUAAGUGAUUGGUAUUAGUGUACAUAUAUUUGUUCAUCCAGCAUGUAUGGAGUAUAUUCUUAUCCAAACACAGUGGUGUUAUAAAAUUCACUCCAAAAAGGUGGAUCUCCAAGGAAAGGGUAUAACGACUGUCAGCUGCUGAAAAUAAAAAGCCUUGCUUCUAUUGAAGGUUUUUUCAGAUUUAUUGUACAUAGAAACACGUACAUAAUGUACAUGGAGCAACUUGCUAGAUAUCAAUGAGGUGAAAUGUAAAUACAGAAACAUGUUGUAUACAUAUAUGCCAGAGUACCUCAAAGUGGGACGAGGAUCAUUAAGGGCUAAGAACUGCAGGAGAGGGUUAUUCUGAUUUCCUUAUAUGUUUAAGAGACAGGGCAGGUGAAGAGGGAAGAGAGUAGAGAUAGGCAUACCACUGGGAAAAGAACAUAAACAAAGGACCAAAGAUGGGAAUGAGAAGAAUUUAGAUGGAGGCCUGUCCAUA
Non-coding RNA from Callithrix jacchus (white-tufted-ear marmoset), 2168 nucleotides. NCBI's taxonomy places the organism in Eukaryota, Metazoa, Chordata, Mammalia, Primates, Cebidae. The record is from RefSeq and is a predicted model, not a curated record.